GGGGACUUGGCGCAAUCGAAGCGCGUCGGAUUCCAGAUCCGAAGGUUGCAGGUUCAAGUCCUGCAGUCCCCA
RNAcentral lists this transfer RNA (72 nucleotides) under Marseillevirus LCMAC103. Its description in RNAcentral is "tRNA-Trp". It matches the Rfam family "tRNA". Rfam says of the family: Transfer RNA (tRNA) molecules are approximately 80 nucleotides in length. The record is from RNAcentral. Lineage: Varidnaviria; Bamfordvirae; Nucleocytoviricota; Megaviricetes; Pimascovirales; Marseilleviridae.